RNAcentral lists this ribosomal RNA (616 nucleotides) under Halorubrum ezzemoulense. RNAcentral's name for it is "bacterial SSU rRNA". It matches the Rfam family "Archaeal small subunit ribosomal RNA", at positions 51 to 668 of the family's 1478-position model. Lineage: Archaea; Methanobacteriati; Methanobacteriota; Halobacteria; Halobacteriales; Haloferacaceae. The record is from RNAcentral.
AUGCUAGUCGCACGAGUUCAGACUCGUGGCGAAUAGCUCAGUAACACGUGGCCAAACUACCCUUCGGAACACAAUACCCUCGGGAAACUGAGGCUAAUAGUGUAUACCAUACCACCACUGGAAUGAGUGGUAUGCCAAACGCUCCGGCGCCGAAGGAUGUGGCUGCGGCCGAUUAGGUAGACGGUGGGGUAACGGCCCACCGUGCCAAUAAUCGGUAUGGGUCAUGAGAGUGAGAACCCAGAGACGGAAUCUGAGACAAGAUUCCGGGCCCUACGGGGCGCAGCAGGCGCGAAACCUUUACACUGCACGACAGUGCGAUAGGGGGAUCCCAAGUGCACAGGCAUAGCGCCUGUGCUUUUCGGUACCCUAAGGCGGUACCAGAAUAAGGGCUGGGCAAGACCGGUGCCAGCCGCCGCGGUAAUACCGGCAGCCCAAGUGAUGGCCGAUCUUAUUGGGCCUAAAGCGUCCGUAGCUGGCCGCGCAAGUCCAUCGGGAAAUCCACCUGCUCAACAGGUGGGCGCCCGGUAGAAACUGCGUGGCUUGGGACCGGAAGGCGCGACGGGUACGUCCGGGGUAGGAGUGAAAUCCCGUAAUCCUGGACGGACCGCCGAUGGCG